GGGGCUGACCUGGUUUCGACGGGAUUUGGUAGCUUUUAACUGCAUGUCGGACUGAGCACUUCCGUUACGCGGCUCAUCUGCGAAUAAACGCAAACAAUACAAAUUAUCGCCCAGCUUUAGCAGUAGCUUAAGUUUUUAACCCCUCGCAAGAGGCGGGCUGCUUCACCUGUUGACUCUAGAUAGGCAGGAUUCGAAGUAUAACCCUUAUGUAGAUAUAUCUUGGGUCUGUCUCAGCUCAAGAAGAACCUCCGAGGCUCGUCUUGUGUAGCUUUGCAAGUUGUGUGAAGCAGGAUUAAAUUAAACAACUUCUCUAAGCAUGUAGACGUUAGGAGUAGCUGAGUUUCGGACUGCGGUUCGAUUCCGCACAGCUCCACCA
RNAcentral lists this transfer-messenger RNA (376 nucleotides) under Nitrospinaceae bacterium. It matches the Rfam family "transfer-messenger RNA". From Rfam's summary of the family: Bacterial tmRNA, also known as 10Sa RNA or SsrA, is named for its dual tRNA and mRNA-like properties. Its role is to liberate the mRNA from a stalled ribosome. To accomplish this part of the tmRNA is used as a reading frame that ends in a translation stop signal. The record is from RNAcentral. Lineage: Bacteria; Pseudomonadati; Nitrospinota; Nitrospinia; Nitrospinales; Nitrospinaceae. RNAcentral also lists the same sequence under 2 other names.